UGCGCCCUACUGGAUUUGAACCAGUGACCAAUAAGUUAUGAGCUUACUGCUCUCACCACUGAGCUAAGGGCAC
RNAcentral lists this transfer RNA (73 nucleotides) under Vibrio phage 1.031.O._10N.261.46.F8. Its description in RNAcentral is "tRNA-Met". Lineage: Duplodnaviria; Heunggongvirae; Uroviricota; Caudoviricetes. The record is from RNAcentral.